This 465-nucleotide ribosomal RNA is filed under the name uncultured bacterium. RNAcentral describes it as "partial 16S ribosomal RNA". It matches the Rfam family "Bacterial small subunit ribosomal RNA", at positions 339 to 795 of the family's 1533-position model. The record is from RNAcentral.
CUACGGGUUGCUGCAGUGAGGAAUUUUGCGCAAUGGGGGGAACCCUGACGCAGCAACGCCGCGUGAGUGAUGAAGGCUUUCGGGUCGUAAAGCUCUGUCAAGUGGGAAGAACCUAUGCAGUGUUAAUAUCACUGUAUACUGACGGUACCACUGAAGGAAGCACCGGCUAACUCCGUGCCAGCAGCCGCGGUAAUACGGGGGGUGCAGGCGUUAUUCGGAAUCAUUGGGCGUAAAGGGCACGUAGGCGGCUUGGUAAGUCAGAUGUGAAAGCCCGGGGCUUAACCCCGGAAGUGCAUUUGAUACUGGCAGGCUUGAGUAUGGGAGAGGGAAGUGGAAUUCCUGGUGUAGAGGUGAAAUUCGUAGAUAUCAGGAGGAACACCGGUGGCGAAGGCGACUUCCUGGACCAAUACUGACGCUGAGGUGCGAAGGCGUGGGUAGCAAACAGGAUUAGAUACCCUCGUAGUC